UGUUGACCUCGGAUCAGGUAGGAAUACCCGCUGAACUUA
RNAcentral lists this ribosomal RNA (39 nucleotides) under Fusarium sp. Its description in RNAcentral is "partial 28S ribosomal RNA". Lineage: Eukaryota; Fungi; Ascomycota; Sordariomycetes; Hypocreales; Nectriaceae. The record is from RNAcentral.